UUUUGGGGGUGUAAUAAAAAAAAAAAAUCACUACAGAGUUUGUCAGAAAUGCAAGAUGGCCACCACUUUUUAAACCUUUGUUAUAUUUUUGGUUUAUUUCUGUUUGUAAAAUACAAUCUCAUAGAAGUGGCAUAUUUAUUUUAUUCACUGUUAUGAGUGAACAGUAAAGAUUUUUUUAAGAUCCAUUGAUUCUUGUUCAUUGUUUUUUUUUUUUUUUAUCAGUGUCUGUAGUAGCAGUGUGACCAAUAUGGAAGGAAAACGCAGCAUAAUAAACUAAAAUCUGAAAAUGGAGGAGGAACAGUGAGGCUUGGGUGAGGGACUUUGAGAGAGAGCAGUCAAGAGUGAGAGUGUGUGAUGAAUGAACAGACUAACCAGCAAAGAGACUGAUGAGGUUCUCUUGAGUUAUUCCUUGGUGUCAGAUGUAUAGCAGGAGGAAUAAAAUACAAUAUCAAUGUUUCCUUUUGCUAACAAAUAUUUGUAAUCAAAAGGCACUUAAAUUGUUUUUGCUAUCCCAUGUGACCCAUUGAUCAAACCCUGUCUUGCUAGUGCAUCUGGUGUUUUUGAGACAGCUUUAUACAAACCUGUGAAGUGUUGGCAGUUUGGUUAGUGCAGGAGUGGGUCUCGAAUAGAGAGCUUCACUGUUCUCGUCAUUGUUUAUUAUGGUUUCAAGUCCUGAUGUAUCAGACUGAACUACUGUGAAUGUCUGUGGAGGGCUAUAAGCUUUAUAUCUGGCUUGUACUACACGUAUUUCAGUUUUGCCAGUAGGAUUGUUAACUUGUUGCAUAUAAAGCAAUCUUUGAAACUAGUUGAUCAACUUUGCAUGCAGUACAAAUUGACAAUACUUGGCUUUUGAAACAGCAGGUUUGCAUGUUUUUGUGACAGAGUAUACACUUGAGCAUGAAAAGCAGAAAAGUCUAAGAAGUGAAUACUUUCUUGAACCCAUAGGAAGGUCAUUUUUGGACACCUUGGCAGCUGUUAAUGGGUAGUCGGUAAUCUCCAUUCUGUAGUAUUAGAAUGGAAAUGUUCUUGACCCAAGGGAGUUUUCAGUAACAGCUGAAUCUUGCACUAGGCUCUUGUGCAAUUGCUCAAAGGAAAAGUAAUUGAUUCCUAAUGUUGUGAAAGCAGGCAUUUUCAACUUUUUCAUUGACUGACCCACCUGAAAAACUUGCCAGUGCCUUGAAGAAGAUGGACCAACCAUGAGACAUGACCAAGAUGUGCAACCAUAUUUAAUGAAUCGUCAUUGGAAAAAGGAGCAUUCAGCUUCACAGACAGUGCUAAAUUUUUAAGUUUACAAUCUUCUGAUGUCAGUUGAUAUCCAUGCAAUCUGGGUACUCAGUAAACAGGAAGUCUUGUGUUACAUGAUUGGAGGGCUUGUCUAGUGAUAUUUCUUACCUGGAGUACCGACGAUCCCAC
Long non-coding RNA from Polypterus senegalus (gray bichir), 1413 nucleotides. RefSeq lists it as uncharacterized. The record is from RefSeq and is a predicted model, not a curated record. Lineage: Eukaryota; Metazoa; Chordata; Cladistia; Polypteriformes; Polypteridae. The transcript has 3 exons.